GGGGUGGGAGGCGUGGCCGGCUGCGGGGAGGGGCGGGAGGCGGGAGCGUCGCGGAGCGCAGGCCUCGGAGGCCCCCGAGUUACCGCCAGCCGUAGACAGAGCUGGCCUGCGCCCCAGUCUUAGUUUUUCUCCCGGUGCCCCCUCCUCAGCCCUGGGCGCACCGCGCCGGGCCGAGCGGCUGGCUGCCUAGCGAGCCGGCCGCCCGACCCCGACUGGCGAAGCGACCCGGAGCCGUCCGGCCCAGGCGCACACGGAAGUGGUGAGUGUCACCGAGAGGUGGUGAGAAGCCUGCCGCAGUCUC
This 301-nucleotide long non-coding RNA is filed under the name Marmota monax (woodchuck). Lineage: Eukaryota; Metazoa; Chordata; Mammalia; Rodentia; Sciuridae. The record is from RNAcentral.